RNAcentral lists this non-coding RNA (31 nucleotides) under Rattus norvegicus (Norway rat). Lineage: Eukaryota; Metazoa; Chordata; Mammalia; Rodentia; Muridae. The record is from RNAcentral.
UNUAGAGGUGAUCCAGCCUGUGAAGCUGUGU